Bos taurus (domestic cattle) is the source of this 575-nucleotide long non-coding RNA. Lineage: Eukaryota; Metazoa; Chordata; Mammalia; Artiodactyla; Bovidae. The record is from Ensembl.
GAUCAAAAAGCCCAUCAAACUUCACAGAGAUGAGCAUUGUCACCAGGAAGAGCAAGUGUAAAUGGAAAUGAAGUUAUGAAAUAUACAGUUGUGGGGAAAACAAGAAAUGAAGUUACAUAUGAUGGAACCUAGUGAUGUAUGUCUAACCCUGGUCAGUGGAGGAGAAUGAUUGCCAAAGAUUUCGACGGGUCCCUCUGAGAGUGUGUCGGACUGCAGUGAAGAAGGACAGAGCAAAUCUCAGGAUCCUGAAGGACUCAGAAGCUGUUUGCUCCUCCCCCUACAGAGUGCGUCCUUUUCAUGGGCAGAGAAUGGAUCUUUGUUAUCAGUAUCUCUUCCAACACCCCGGAAAAGUUGACUACCAGAUGCCUGUUACCGUGGCUCCAGAGCCCACUAAAGCUUUGAGUUCCUCCAGGAGAGGGUGGGUUUUGGCAGCUCCUCUUGCCGUUCUAACAACCCAGACACCAGGACACACCCUGUUGACUUAGGAACGCUGGAGAGGAGCAUUUGCUGGAAAUGUCUCUUCUGUUAUUCAGUGGCCAAGUGACUGAUUACUUCUAAGACAGUGAUUUCAUGAG